Molecule: ribosomal RNA, 484 nt
Filed under: uncultured bacterium
Lineage: Bacteria
Description: partial 16S ribosomal RNA
Rfam family: Bacterial small subunit ribosomal RNA
Source: RNAcentral
AUUGAACGCUGGCGGCAGGCCUAACACAUGCAAGUCGAGCGGAUGAAGGGAGCUUGCUCCUGGAUUCAGCGGCGGACGGGUGAGUAAUGCCUAGGAAUCUGCCUGGUAGUGGGGGAUAACGUCCGGAAACGGGCGCUAAUACCGCAUACGUCCUGAGGGAGAAAGUGGGGGAUCUUCGGACCUCACGCUAUCAGAUGAGCCUAGGUCGGAUUAGCUAGUUGGUUGGGUAAAGGCCUACCAAGGCGACGAUCCGUAACAGGUCUGAGAGGAUGAUCAGUCACACUGGAACUGAGACACGGUCCAGACUCCUACGGGAGGCAGCAGUAGGGAAUAUUGGACAAUGGGCGUAAGCCUGAUCCAGCCAUGCCGCGUGAGUGAAGAAGGUCUUCGGAUUGUAAAGCACUGUAAGUUGGGAGGAAGGGCAGUAAGUUAAUACCUUGCUGUUUUGACGGUACCAACAGAAUAAGCACCGGCUAACUUCGUG